This 451-nucleotide ribosomal RNA is filed under the name uncultured bacterium. RNAcentral describes it as "partial 16S ribosomal RNA". It matches the Rfam family "Bacterial small subunit ribosomal RNA", at positions 29 to 523 of the family's 1533-position model. The record is from RNAcentral.
AGCGAACGCUGGCGGCAGGCCUAAUACAUGCAAGUCGAGCGGCCGUAGCAAUACGGCAGCGGCAGACGGGAGAGUAACACGUGGGAACGUACCUUUCGGUUCGGAACAACCCAGGGAAACUUGGGCUAAUACCGGAUACGUCCGUAAGGAGAAAGAUUUAUCGCCGAAAGAUCGGCCCGCGUCUGAUUAGCUUGUUGGUGAGGUAACGGCUCACCAAGGCGACGAUCAGUAGCUGGUCUGAGAGGAUGAUCAGCCUCACUGGGACUGAGACACGGCCCAGACUCCUACGGGAGGCAGCAGUAGGGAAUAUUGGACAAUGGGCGCAAGCCUGAUCCAGCCAUGCCGCGUGAGUGAUGAAGGCCCUAGGGUUGUAAAGCUCUUUCGGCGGGGAAGAUAAUGACGGUACCCGCAGAAGAAGCCCCGGCUAACUUCGUGCCAGCCGCCGCGGUAA